GGUUUCCUAGCAAAUUACAAUGGUUCUAUAAAUGGUAGAGUGUGGAUUUUAUGGGACACAAAGUUGCUCACAGUCACUGGUAUCCAGGAGGAGGCUCAAUUGAUACACUGUAAAGUCAGAAGCAAUAUUGGGGAUGUCACUUGCUAUCUAACUGUGGUAUAUGGAUAUAAUGGGGUGGACCAGAGAAUAUCUCUAUGGAAAAAUCUGGGGGAUUACUCAGUU
RNAcentral lists this long non-coding RNA (222 nucleotides) under Nicotiana benthamiana. Its description in RNAcentral is "long non-coding RNA (NBEN_LNC039408)". The record is from RNAcentral. Lineage: Eukaryota; Viridiplantae; Streptophyta; Magnoliopsida; Solanales; Solanaceae.